UACGGAGGGUGCAAGCGUUAUCCGGAUUUACUGGGCUUAAAGGGUGCGCAGGCGGAUAUGUAAGUCAGUGGUGAAAUCUUCCCGCUUAACGGGAAAACUGCCAUUGAUACUAUAUAUCUUGAAUGCUGUGGAGGUAAGCAGAAUAUGUCAUGUAGCGGUGAAAUGCUUAGAGAUGACAUAGAAUACCUAUUGCGAAGGCAGCUUACUACGCAGAUAUUGACGCUCAUGCACGAAAGCGUGGGGAUCAAACAGG
RNAcentral lists this ribosomal RNA (253 nucleotides) under uncultured bacterium. RNAcentral describes it as "partial 16S ribosomal RNA". It matches the Rfam family "Bacterial small subunit ribosomal RNA", at positions 524 to 776 of the family's 1533-position model. The record is from RNAcentral.